This 253-nucleotide ribosomal RNA is filed under the name uncultured bacterium. RNAcentral's name for it is "partial 16S ribosomal RNA". It matches the Rfam family "Bacterial small subunit ribosomal RNA", at positions 524 to 776 of the family's 1533-position model. The record is from RNAcentral.
UACGUAGGGGGCAAGCGUUGUCCGGAUUUAUUGGGCGUAAAGCGCGUGUAGGCGGCCAGAUAGGUCUGCUGUGAAAACUCGAGGCUCAACCUCGAGCUGUCGGCGGAAACCAUCUGGCUAGAGUCCGGAAGAGGAGAGUGGAAUUCCUGGUGUAGCGGUGAAAUGCGCAGAUAUCAGAAAGAACACCUAUGGCGAAGGCAGCUCUCUGGGACGGUACUGACGCUGAGACGCGAAAGCGUGGGGAGCGAACAGG